UUGCUUAGAUGGGUGGAUGAGCUCACAGC
RNAcentral lists this small RNA (29 nucleotides) under Bombyx mori (domestic silkworm). Its description in RNAcentral is "ovarian small RNA-37951". The record is from RNAcentral. Lineage: Eukaryota; Metazoa; Arthropoda; Insecta; Lepidoptera; Bombycidae.